This 373-nucleotide unclassified non-coding RNA is filed under the name Hevea brasiliensis (rubber tree). Lineage: Eukaryota; Viridiplantae; Streptophyta; Magnoliopsida; Malpighiales; Euphorbiaceae. The record is from RNAcentral.
AUCCACACCCUCUCGCUCCUUCCUCUCUGGUCGUCGCCUUCCCUCCCUCGCCACCGUCUCCGCCUUGCGAUCGUCGGUGCGAUCGAUGGCCGACUCCGCCGCCGCCUUCCAGAAGGUUCAGAUCUCCAGGGAUGACACUACAUUUGAUGCAUAUGUAGUCGGCAAGGAAAAUGCUCCAGGGAUAGUGGUGUUGCAGGAAUGGUGGGGUGUUGACUUUGAGGUUAAGAACCAUGCUUUAGACAUUGCCAAAAUGAGUCCGGGUUACAGGGCUCUAAUUCCAGAUUUAUAUCGUGGAAAAGUUGGGUUGGAUGUUGCUGAGGCACAACAUUUGAUGGAUGGCUUGGACUGGCAGGGUGCUGUUAAGGAUAUACAU